UCUGAUUUUUAAAGGAAAUAGGGUAAUGUUGUUGCCGAUUUUUGGUAUGUUGUUGCCGAUUUGGGGCUUCUGAUUUUUGAAGGAAAUAGGGUAAUGUUGUUGCCGAUUUUUGGUAUGUUGUUGCCGAUUUUGGAGGCUUAUGAUUUUGAGGCUUUCAUGUUGGUUCUGUUGCUUUGGCUUGUUUGUUUUCUAAACAUAUGGGUUUUUAUUGUUCUUAUAUUGUAGUUUGUAUUUUUGUGGCUUGUUUCAUGUUAAUAGGGUCUCUUUCUUAAGAAUUCAUUGAUUAGUGAGAUACAUGGGUUCCUCCAAUUUGUCGUAUUCUUUAAAUUUCAGCAACUUUUGUUAUGGAUGUGAACCCUAACUUUUGGUUUUAGUGUUCACAAAACAGAUUAACUAGUCAAGCCAUAACUUUUUGUCAUGAAUUAAAGUAAACUUGUAUAUAUUAAAACUGAAAAGGAAAAAGGAAAAGAAAACUGAAAACUGAAAAAGGAAAAGAAAACUAUAAAAGGAAAAUGAAAAGAAAUCCAAUGCAUUAAACUUGUAUUUAUCGUUAAAACCAACACUCUCUCUCAUAUGUAUUAUUCUUCAUGAGGAUAAUAAAUAAUUUUUAUUACUUUGUUACUUUUGUAACUUUGUUGUAAUAUAUUUAUUAUUUUGUAGAGAUUCAUAUAUAAUUUCUUUCAUUAGGUUAUAGAAUCUAUCAUAAUGGACAGAAUUUGGAUUACGGAGUCAAGGUACUUUAAAUUUUAGUCUCGUCAAUUUUCAAAAAAAUAAUAAAUAAAUAAAGCUUAAUUCUCAUUUUGGUUUAGAUAUUUACAAUAAAUUCAUUUUUACUUUUGUCUUUCUUACUAUAUAAAUAGGAUAAGUACUACAUACUCGAAUGGAGUUGAACAAUUUCUAAAUACAUCGUUUGAGCGAGUUGGGCAGAGUGGACGCAUAUAUUGUCCUUGUAACAAUUGUGGGAAUUGUAUCAAGAAAACACGACAAGAAGUUUUGGAUGACUUAAUGUGGAAUGGGUUUAUCCAAACAUACACAACUUGGAUUUAUCAUAGAGAACAAUUACCUUCGUCUUCUAGGCAUAAUGAUGGGCACACCUUAUACGAGCACAUCGACUCCAAUGUAAAUAAUGAUGACAUGCACGAACUCUUAUAUGAGGGUUUUGGAAUUCAAAAUGAAAUGGGUGAAUAAGCUGAUAAGGAAAAUGAGUAUCAUCAGGGCCCUAAUGAAAAGGCAGAUAAGUUUUACAAGCUUCUAGAUGAUGGAAAAACAGAUCUAUACCCUGGGUGUAAAAACUUUACGAAAUUGUCUUUUAUAGUGAAACUAUAUUUGUUGAAAACUUUGCAUCAUUGGACUGAUAAAUCAUUUAGUGAGUUACUAAUGUUUUUGAAAGAUGUACUACCAGAAGGUGAGACACUGCCAAAAUCUUUUUACAAGACAACAAAGAUAAUUAGUGACUUAGGUCUUAAGUAUGAUAAGAUUGAUGCAUGUCCCUUUGAUUGUAUGUUGUACUGGAAGGAUUUUGACACUCAUUCCGAGGGCAGUACAAGUACAUCACCCCCAUCAAAAAGACAAAAAUUCCAGCCAAAGUUAUAAGGUAUUUCCCUCUUAAGUCAAGACUUCAAUGGUUGUUCAUGUCAAAUAAGACAGCUUUAGAUAUACGAUGGCAUGAGGAAGAACGCAUAAAAGAUGGAAAGUUAAGACAUCCUGCUGACUCUCUAGCGUGGGAUCAUUUUGACAAAAAGUAUCUAGAGUUUUCUAGGGAUUCUAGAAAUGUUAGACUUGGCCUAGCAUCAGACGGUUUCAACCCAUUUAGGACUAUGAGUAUUGCACAUAGUACAUAGCCUGUUGUUCUUGCUGUAUACAACUUGCCAGGGUGGAUGUGCAUGAAACAACCUUUUUUCAUACUAUCCACCUUAAUCCCUGGUCCUAAGGGUCCUGGAAAUGAUAUUGAUGUAUAUUUGCAGCCCUUGAUAGAAGAAUUAAAGGAAUUGUGGGUUGAAGGGGUGGAUACCUAUGAUACGUCGAGAAAAGGGAUGUUUUGCAUGCAUAUAGCGUUAUUGUGGACUAUAAGUGACUUUCCUGCUUUUGCAAACUUAUCUGGUUGGAGUACAAAGGGGUAUUUGGCUUGUCCAGUUUGUCUUAAAGGCACUUAUUCUUGUAGGUUAAAGCAUAGCAAAAAAAUUUUUUAUACAGGCUAUAGGCAUUUUGUUAAGCAAUGUUAUAGAUUCAAACGCAAUAAAGCAGCUUUUGAUGGAACAGAAGAGACUAGGUGUGCACCACCUAUGUUAUCUGGAACAGAAGUGCUACAUGAACUAGAGGGCAUUAGCUUUCCAACAUUUGGGAAAGGGGAUGAUGGCAAGGGGAAUGCUGCAUAAGUGGAUGAAAUGGAUGAAAAUCCAAUGUUCAAUUGGAGGAAGAAGAGUAUAUUUUUUGAAUUGCCUUAUUGGGAGCACCUUCUUAUUCAUCAUAAUCUUGAUGUGAUGCAUAUUGAGAAGAAUAUAUGUGACAAUGUACUUUAUACUUUGAUGAAUGAACCGGGUCGAGGAAAGGAUGGUUUAAAAUCAAGACUCGACUUGUAGGAGAUGCAAAUAAGGCAUUCACUUCACCCCCAGGAAUGUGGUGCAAACAAAUAUUAUUUGCCUUCGGCAAGUUACACAUUUUCUCUACUUGAAAAUAAAAUCUUUUGUCGGGCGUUGAAAAAAGUUAAAGUUCCAGAUGGAUAUGCAGCUAACAUAUCACGUUGUGUGAAAUUGAAAGAGCGUAAAAUUAGCGGUUUAAAGAGCCAUGAUUCCCACAUCCUAAUGCAACAACUAUUACCAGUAUCCAUUUGCAAGCUAUUGCCAAAGAAUGUAUGCUCUACACUUGUUGAGUUGAGUAACUUUUAUAAGGAAUUAUGUUCAAAAACUCUCAUACCGGCUGAGUUGGACAAUUUGCAAAAAUAAGAUUACUUUAACACUUUGUAAAUUGGAAAUGAUAUUCUCACCAUCUUUUUUUGAUGUGAUGGUCCACUUAUCAAUUCACUUAGCUCAGGAAGCAAAGAUCGUAGGACCAGUGCAAUAUCGUUGGAUGUAUCCUUUUGAGAGGUUUAACUUUUUUCCACUAUUUUCGUAGGUUUUUUUCCCCACUAAAUAUUGCAAAUACUUCUCAUUUUUUUGUUGUAUCCUAUCAGGUAUCUUUUAACCUUAAAAAAUUAUGUGUGCAAUAGAAGUCGCCUAGAGGGUUCAAUUGCAGAAGGGUAUUUAGCUGAGGAAUGCUUAAAUUUUUGUUCAAGAUACCUAGCAAUCGUGGAGACAAGGUUCAAUAGGCCCUCAAGGAAUGAUGACAACCUUGAUGAUGGAGAAGAGAUGUCUACUUUUGGCCCUAGAGGUCGUGCCUUAGGAAAACAGGAGAUUAUUGUUUUAGAUGAUGAUUGUCAAACACAAGCUCAUCGGUAUGUGUUAUUUAACUACGACGGAGCUACACAAUUCAUUGAAAAGCAUAAGAAAUUUCUUAAAAGAAGGCAACGGAAUUUAAAGCCAUGACAAAUACAAUCAAUGUCUCAUCUAUCAUUUCAUAAGUGGUUUAAUGAAUGUGUAAGUAUCUACACAUAGAACGGUUAAUUAAAUUUUAUAUUAUAUAUGCUAUUUACUUUAUUGUAAAACUUACAUCUUUGAAAAUACAGCUGCGGAAUACGGAGGAUCCUAUCCCUAAUGAGAUUAGAUGGCUAGCUCGGGGUCCUAAUAUCGUUUCCAAACGAUUUAAGUUGUUCGUGAUUAAUGGGUUUAAGUUUAAUGUUAGAGAUUGUGAUAAUCAGAGGAAGACCCAAAAUAGUGGUGUUGUUUUAAAAGCACACACAUCAAGUUAUGCAAGAGCCAGUGAUCAAAAUCCUAUUGCAGGAAAUGUUCAUUACUUCGGAUUAUUGACUGACAUCAUUGAAUUGGACUACAACGAGGAAAGGAAGGUUGUAUUGUUCAAGUGUGAUUCGUUUGAUGUACUCUCUAUAGGUAGAGGGAUAAAGGAGGAUGAUUUUGGGUUUACACUCAUUAAUUUUUCACGUGUGAUGCGAACUGACGAACCAUUCAUUCUAGCAUCUCAGGCUGAGCAAGUGUUUUAUGUUCAAGACCCGUUGAUACAAUUGGCAUGUUGUUAUAGGGACAAAACCUUGUGAUUUAUAUGAUAUUCCUGAAGAUGAUACUGAGACCUAUGGAUUUGAGCAACCAUUUAGUUCUCUACACUCGAAUGCAACUGAUGAUCACAUUCAUUGGGAUAGAGGUGAUGUGCCUGGAACAAUGGUUGAUAAAUCUUAAUCAGCAAACACGGAAAAAGAAGAUAUUUCGGAUGAGUAACAUACUUAGAAUGAUGAUAAUUUUUUCUUAAAUGCUGCAAAUAAUGUUGCAUUUUCUUAUUUUCGUCUUUUUUUUGGCUUCGUGCUUAUGGAAUAUUAUGAUUUUUUUUCCAUCUCUCCCUCCCUUACUCAUUUUCUUAUAACUUGGUAAGUAAAAAGAGUAUACAUAAUAUUAGUUAUUUAUUUAUUUAUUUUAACAUAUUUCAAAUUGAUAUUGUCCUAAAACAAAUAAAAUUGUGGUACUAUCAUACUUAAGUAAAUUUAUACUUCCUUAUUGCAUAUUGUAAUUGUUCUCAAGUGUGUUACUUUUCCAAAUUUUGAUGUUUUUGAAGACCUAAUAUAUUCAGCCUACAUUCAUCUUAACUACCAGCUUGAAUAAACAUGGCAACAAAGGUUUGUUAGCUUUAUGCAGGAACAUAAUGAAAUGUAGGGCAACAACAAACUUGGAAUUAGAAUUGCAUGGAGGACUUUCUCAGGGUUCAAAUUCGCAGUCCUAUACUUCUCAUGGUUCACAAGAAGAGGAUAUGGGGACUAUUGAAAGCAAUGAGUUAAGACCACCGAAGAAGACUCGAGGCCCCACACACUGCGCAAAUGUGGUACAACAUGACACCAAAAAGAAUAGCCUGAUACCAUUAAGUGUGAAUGAGCAUGGACAACCUAAUAGAGCCGAUGAAAAAAUUUCGCUAAUUAUUUGGGCACAAUUGCCCGUAAUGGUCUUGCAGCUCCCUUGAACUAUAAAAAUUGGAGGAAAGUCCCUGAAAUAGUUAAAGAGGACAUGUGGACGACGGUACAGGGCAAGUUUGAGUAGAAGAAAUCUCAAAAGAUUGGACAUUAUCAGCCCUUGGUCAUAAAUGGAGAGAUUGGAAGAGUGAAAUUAAAAGUAACUAUUAUAAAAUUUGGCAUACAGAUGAACAAUGAUAUGCAAACCCACCACCAAGUGUUAAGGAGGACCAAUGGGAUUAUCUCAUUAGAUAUUGGCGUACAGAGGCAGCACAGGGUUGCUGUUUGGUUGCUUGAUUUGGUUGUUGGAGUUCGAAUUCGGGUGUUGAUUACUAUGGGUGGCUGAAUUGGUGGUUCAGGGUUGCUGUUUGGUUGCUUGAUUUGGUUGUUGAAUGAUUUCUAGCAUUUUUUCCUAGUCAGUUUCUACUAUUUUUUCCUAGUCAGUUUCUAGCAUUUUAUUCUAGUUUUUUUCAGUUAGCUUCUAGCAUUUUAUUCUAGUUUUUUUCAGUCAAGGAACAGAGAAGUAGAGAGAGAAAAGUCAAUAUUACACCAAGAAAUUAAUCUAACAUUUUAAAUAAGUUGUCAUUCAAAUACCCUUUUAGAAUUUGUAAGUGUAACUGGUCAAGUAAGAAGUAGACAGUGGUAGCAUGAUCCAGUGCUGAAACUAAGCACAUGGCUAUAGAUUUAUUGAGAGGUAUUAUGAUACAUAGCCAGGAGCUUUUAGGACUUUGAUCCUUGAUAGGUUUUAAGUUCAAAAUGUAAGCCUUGCAUACAAUUAUCAGAGAAAUUAAAGAUUUGACUUUUUACUAAUUUAAAUAUUUGUGAUGAAAUAUGCUAUACAUUCCUUUUAUGAAUCCACUAUAUUUUUAUGUGGAUUAACUUUAUUUCCAGAACAAUUGACACCAAA
Molecule: long non-coding RNA, 5951 nt
Organism: Cornus florida
Lineage: Eukaryota; Viridiplantae; Streptophyta; Magnoliopsida; Cornales; Cornaceae
Exons: 5
Source: RefSeq, a predicted model, not a curated record